This 67-nucleotide transfer RNA is filed under the name Cryptomonas paramaecium. Its description in RNAcentral is "Cryptomonas paramecium tRNA". The record is from RNAcentral. Lineage: Eukaryota; Cryptophyceae; Cryptomonadales; Cryptomonadaceae.
AUUAAAGGACAAUUUAUACAAGGAGGAGAUUCGAAAAAGUGUUUGUAAUAAUCGAAACUAAUAUAGU